CUACGGGAGGCUGCAGUCGGGAAUAUUGGACAAUGGGGGAAACCCUGAUCCAGCCAUGCCGCGUGUGUGAAGAAGGCCCUAGGGUUGUAAAGCACUUUUAGUAGUGGGGAAGGCUCAGUAGUUAAUACCUACUGGGAUUGACGUUAGCUACAGAAAAAGCACCGGCUAAUUUCGUGCCAGCAGCCGCGGUAAUACGAAAGGUGCAAGCGUUAAUCGGAAUUACUGGGCGUAAAGCGCGCGUAGGCGGCUUGGUAAGUUGGAUGUGAAAGCCCCGGGCUCAACCUGGGAACUGCAUCCAAAACUGCCUAGCUAGAGUAUGGUAGAGGAUGGCGGAAUUUCCUGUGUAGCGGUGAAAUGCGUAGAUAUAGGAAGGAACAUCAGUGGCGAAGGCGGCCAUCUGGACCAAUACUGACGCUGAGGUGCGAAAGCGUGGGGAGCAAACAGGAUUAGAUACCCGUGUAGUC
This 464-nucleotide ribosomal RNA is filed under the name uncultured bacterium. RNAcentral describes it as "partial 16S ribosomal RNA". It matches the Rfam family "Bacterial small subunit ribosomal RNA", at positions 339 to 795 of the family's 1533-position model. The record is from RNAcentral.